UGGAAGAAUGACAGUUUAACUAUCAAAUGCAUCAUACUGGCCUCUAUGACAAAUGAAUUAUAGAGACAGCAUGAGAGCAUGGAUACUCAAUCCAUACUCCUCGAUCUUAAAGAGUUAUAUGGAGAACAGAGUAGGACUGUUAGGUAUGAGAUAUCUAAACAGUUAUUCCGUACUAGAAUGACUGAGGGAUCAUUUGUACAAGAUCAUAUCCUGAAGGUCAUUGACUUGAUCACC
Molecule: long non-coding RNA, 234 nt
Filed under: Elaeis guineensis (African oil palm)
Lineage: Eukaryota; Viridiplantae; Streptophyta; Magnoliopsida; Arecales; Arecaceae
Description: long non-coding RNA (EGUI_LNC058198)
Source: RNAcentral